Long non-coding RNA from Melopsittacus undulatus (budgerigar), 246 nucleotides. RefSeq lists it as uncharacterized. Lineage: Eukaryota; Metazoa; Chordata; Aves; Psittaciformes; Psittaculidae. The transcript is spliced from 3 exons. The record is from RefSeq and is a predicted model, not a curated record.
GUGGGUCUUCAGGACCAAGGAGCUGAUGCUGAGGUCUGGCAGCGCCGUGCCCGAGGGGAGCCUGGUCUAUGUGCGGGAAGGGAGCAGUGCCUUCCUCCGGACCCCCACUGGCUGGAGCCGCCUCCUGCUGGAGGAUUCAAAGUCGCUCUUUGCUGGUGAUGACCCCUCUGCUUCCACCCCACGGUACCAGGAGGCAAAGCGGGAGCAGACAAAAGGUCCUGACAUGGCACCGCCUGCGUUGACCCC